Molecule: long non-coding RNA, 452 nt
Filed under: Podarcis muralis (Common wall lizard)
Lineage: Eukaryota; Metazoa; Chordata; Lepidosauria; Squamata; Lacertidae
Description: lncRNA (ENSPMRG00000018336.1)
Source: RNAcentral
CUUUAAGCUGCACCAUGAAGUCUGCCCUCGUGGUCCUUCUGGGGCUCCUCAUCCUUUGUGCUGAGCUGACACUGGCAGGUUCUAAGACGCCAGACUGCGCGUCAGAGCGGGAAGCCAGGAUACUGCCCCACACCGGAUGGUGGUGGAACAUGUGUGGAGGAUUGUUCUGGAGAUGAUUCAUGUCCUGGGGACAAGAAGUGCUGCAGCAACAACUGUGGCCACACUUGCCAAACUCCGCUAAACGUAAAACCCGGCGAGUGCCCCAAGUUCAAAAUCCCUCCUGGGCUGCCGUGCAAAACGGAUUGCUGCGAGGACAACCACUGCAAAGGGACCGACAAAUGCUGCCCAAUGGGAUGCAGCAAGAUUUGCGCCCCGGCAGGUAAGGGCAGGUAAGGGCAGGAUGCAGCGGCUCAAGCACAUGACUAGAGUCUGGUCCUCUCCUUCUUAAAAUA